Molecule: long non-coding RNA, 532 nt
Organism: Hemicordylus capensis (graceful crag lizard)
Lineage: Eukaryota; Metazoa; Chordata; Lepidosauria; Squamata; Cordylidae
Exons: 4
Source: RefSeq, a predicted model, not a curated record
GUGAUCAUCUGGGAGCAUGUGAGGGUGUGUGUGGCUAUUUGAGGCCCAAGAAUGAGGAAAAUACUACCAUAAGAAAGCAAUAACAGUUUAAGUGGUAUGCAGUCUAUAGGAAAAGUAAAUAUAUUGUGUUGAAUUGAAUUGAUUCCCCUGUCUCUGGAGGGUGUUCAACAGCAGGCAGAAUCAAAGAACAACCAGUGUUGACAUGGAGAAAGGCCCUAAUAUGGUGAGACUAGGAAAGAGAGCCACAUCAAUUGAGAUGGGGACAGAAGCAUAUUCAUAAAGCCUGGAGUAUGGAGCUGCUGUCCAGGGUUGUGAGGGUAUGGUAGAUUGAGCUCAUAUUGAGAAUCUUUUUCUGCAACAGGAAUGGGUUAUGACCCAUUUGGUGCAGCUCAGGCUUUAGUUUAUUGGUGCCAGGUGUGUGGCUGGCUAUAUAUGUCAGUCUCUCUGAGCAUCUUAUUAAGAACAAAACUACCCCCUCCAUGCUGGGCUUAGCUGAUGAAUGUAUGCCAUGCUCUUUUAGUAAAGCUGUGAA